This 573-nucleotide non-coding RNA is filed under the name Trichomonas vaginalis G3. RNAcentral's name for it is "Eukaryotic small subunit ribosomal RNA". It matches the Rfam family "Eukaryotic small subunit ribosomal RNA", at positions 1210 to 1831 of the family's 1831-position model. The record is from Rfam by way of RNAcentral. Lineage: Eukaryota; Parabasalia; Trichomonadida; Trichomonadidae.
GAACUUUACCAGGACCCAGAUGUUUUUUAUGACUGACAGGCUUCGGGUCUUUCAGGAUAUUGUUUUUGGUGGUGCAUGGCCGUUGGUGGUGCGUGGGUUGACCUGUCUAGCGUUGAUUCAGCUAACGAGCGAGAUUAUCGCCAAUUAUUUACUUUGCCGAAGUCCUUCGGUUAAAGUUCUAAUUGGGACUCCCUGCGAUUUUAGCAGGUGGAAGAGGGUAGCAAUAACAGGUCCGUGAUGCCCUUUAGAUGCUCUGGGCUGCACGCGUGCUACAAUGUUAGGAUCAAUAGGACUGCGAGCCUGAGAGGGUGCGCUACUCUUAUAAUCCCUAACGUAGUUGGGAUUGACGUUUGUAAUCAGCGUCAUGAACCAGGAAUCCCUUGUAAAUGUGUGUCAACAACGCACGUUGAAUACGUCCCUGCCCUUUGUACACACCGCCCGUCGCUCCUACCGAUUGGAUGACUCGGUGAAAUCACCGGAUGCUUACGAGCAGAAAGUGAUUAAAUCACGUUAUCUAGAGGAAGGAGAAGUCGUAACAAGGUAACGGUAGGUGAACCUGCCGUUGGAUCAGUU